UCCGGUAUGGUGUAGUGGCUAACAUCGCUCGCUCUCAAUAAUUUGACGAACCGAGCAGCCCAGGGUUCGAUUCCCUGUACCGGAG
This is a transfer RNA of 85 nucleotides. It matches the Rfam family "tRNA". From Rfam's summary of the family: Transfer RNA (tRNA) molecules are approximately 80 nucleotides in length. Their secondary structure includes four short double-helical elements and three loops (D, anti-codon, and T loops). The record is from Rfam.